AUGCCUCUCCUUAAUGUCAAUAUGUCUUGUCCAUUUCUGUUCUGGUUAGUGUUUAUUGGCUUAUUUCACUGUAGAGCCUCUAGUCCUGCUCACUAUACCUUAUCCAACCUAUUAGUUCCACCACCCACACAUGCAAUGACAUCUCCUGGUUUCAACGAUGUUUCUAGAGACAAUAUCUCUCUCUUCAUCACUCAAUACCUAGGUUUACCUCCACUGUAUUCACAUCCUACCAUACAUUUGUCUGUACAUUAUACCUUGAUGCUAUUUUAUCGCCCCCAGAAACCUCCUUUUACUCUAUGUUCCAGACGUUCUAGACGACCAAUUCUCAUAGCUUUUAGCCGUACCCUUAUUCUACUCCUCCUAUGUUCCUCUGGCGAUGUAGAGGUGAAUCCAGGCCCUGCAGUGCCUAGCUCCACUCCUAUUCCCCAGGCGCUCUCUUUUGACGACUUCUGUAACCGUAAUAGCCUUGGUUUCAUGCAUGUUAACAUUAGAAGCCUCCUCCCUAAGUUUGUUCUAUUCACUGCUUUAGCACACUCUGCCAACCCGGAUGUUCUAGCUGUGUCUGAAUCCUGGCUUAGGAAGACCACCAAAAACUCAGACAUUUUAAUUCCAAACUACAACAUUUUCAGACAAGAUAGAACUGCCAAAGGGGGCGGUGUUGCAAUCUACUGCAAAGAUAGCCUGCAGAGUUCUGUCCUACUAUCCAGGUCUGUACCCAAACAAUUUGAACUUCUACUUUUAAAAAUCCACCUCUCUAAAAACAAGUCUCUCACCGUUGCCGCCUGCUAUAGACCACCCUCUGCCCCCAGCUGUGCUCUGGACACCAUAUGUGAACUGAUUGCCCCCCAUCUAUCUUCAGAGUUCGUGCUGCUAGGCGACCUAAACUGGAACAUGCUUAACACCCCAGCCAUCCUACAAUCUAAACUUGACGCCCUCAAUCUCACACAAAUUAUCAAUGAACCUACCAGGUACCUCCCCAAAACCUUAAACACGGGCACCCUCAUAGAUAUCAUCCUAACCAACUUCCCCUCUAAAUACACCUCGGCUGUCUUCAACCAAGAUCUCAGCGAUCACUGCCUCAUUGCCUGCAUCCGUAAUGGGUCAGCGGUCAAACGACCUCCACUCAUCACUGUAAAACGCUCCCUGAAACACUUCUGCGAGCAGGCCUUUCUAAUCGACCUGGCCGGGGUAUCCUGGAAGGAUAUUGAUCUCAUCCCGUCAGUAGAGGAUGCCUGGAUAUUUUUUUUAAAUGCCUUCCUAACCAUCCUAAAUAAACAUGCCCCAUUCAAGAAAUUUAGAACCAGGAACAGAUAUAGCCCCUGGUUCUCCCCAGACCUGACUGCCCUUAACCAACACAAAAACAUCCUAUGGCGUUCUGCAUUAGCAUCGAACAGCCCCCGUGAUAUGCAGCUGUUCAGGGAAGCUAGAAAUCAUUAUACACAGGCAGUUAGAAAAGCCAAGGCUAGCUUUUUCAAGCAGAAAUUUGCUUCCUGCAACACUAACUCAAAAAAGUUCUGGGACACUGUAAAGUCCAUGGAGAAUAAGAACACCUCCUCCCAGCUGCCCACUGCACUGAAGAUAGGAAACACUGUCACCACUGAUAAAUCCACCAUAAUUGAGAAUUUCAAUAAGCAUUUUUCUACGGCUGGCCAUGCUUUCCACCUGGCUACUCCUACCCCGGACAACAGCACUGCACCCCCAACAGCAACUCGCCCAAGCCUUCCCCAUUUCUCCUUCUCCCAAAUCCAUUCAGCUGAUGUUCUGAAAGAGCUGCAAAAUCUGGACCCCUACAAAUCAGCCGGGCUAGACAAUCUGGACCCUUUCUUUCUAAAAUUAUCUGCCGAAAUUGUUGCCACCCCUAUUACUAGCCUGUUCAACCUCUCUUUCGUGUCGUCUGAGAUUCCCAAAGAUUGGAAAGCAGCUGCGGUCAUCCCCCUCUUCAAAGGGGGGGGACACUCUUGA
This 1962-nucleotide long non-coding RNA is filed under the name Oncorhynchus kisutch (coho salmon). RNAcentral's name for it is "lncRNA (ENSOKIG00005049019.1)". Lineage: Eukaryota; Metazoa; Chordata; Actinopteri; Salmoniformes; Salmonidae. The record is from RNAcentral.